AAGUCGUAACAAGGUAACCGUAGGUGAACCUGCGGUUGGAUCAUUAAAAAGGCCGCCCAUCUGGGCAUCAAUACUCGUAUUGAUGAUGCACAACCCUGUGCAGAGACCUUCUGUGAACUGUAAUCGUCUCUGGCGGAUGGGCAGUGAAACAUCUGCCUGUCAGCAUCGUCUCUGACGGUGCCGUGGACAACCCGCCAAAACAUCACUGUGUGAAUACAUCUGUUUUACUUUUCUGUCUGACAUCAACUUGUAUGAAUAUACAAAACAACUUUUGGCAACGGAUCUCUUGGCUCUC
This 295-nucleotide unclassified non-coding RNA is filed under the name Spizellomyces sp. RNAcentral's name for it is "partial internal transcribed spacer region". The stretch from base 1 to 46 matches the Rfam family "Eukaryotic small subunit ribosomal RNA", at positions 1786 to 1831 of the family's 1831-position model. The record is from RNAcentral. Lineage: Eukaryota; Fungi; Chytridiomycota; Chytridiomycetes; Spizellomycetales; Spizellomycetaceae.